RNAcentral lists this ribosomal RNA (372 nucleotides) under uncultured bacterium. Its description in RNAcentral is "bacterial SSU rRNA". It matches the Rfam family "Bacterial small subunit ribosomal RNA", at positions 525 to 896 of the family's 1533-position model. The record is from RNAcentral.
ACGAAGGGGGCUAGCGUUGCUCGGAAUGACUGGGCGUAAAGGGCGCGUAGGCGGUUUAUUUAGUUAGGCGUGAAAUUCCUGGGCUCAACCUGGGGACUGCGUUUAAUACAGGUAGACUUGAGUGUGGAAGAGGGUUGUGGAAUUCCCAGUGUAGAGGUGAAAUUCGUAGAUAUUGGGAAGAACACCGGUGGCGAAGGCGGCAACCUGGUCCAUGACUGACGCUGAGGCGCGAAAGCGUGGGGAGCAAACAGGAUUAGAUACCCUGGUAGUCCACGCUGUAAACGAUGUGUGCUGGAUGUUGGGUGACCUAGUCACUCAGUGUCGUAGCUAACGCGAUAAGCACACCGCCUGGGGAGUACGGCCGCAAGGUUG